This 263-nucleotide unclassified non-coding RNA is filed under the name uncultured fungus. Its description in RNAcentral is "sequence contains ITS1". The record is from RNAcentral. Lineage: Eukaryota; Fungi.
GUAUUGCAACAAAGGCCUUUGCGGCACAAUCACGUUCAAUAUUAUUGAAGCAGUGUAUAUAAGGAGAGGAAGGGAACCCCCCGAAGAAAACCUGGUGCGGCCAACAACAGGCAAUCAAACUCGGAGACCCUCCGAAAUGUGCACAGGUGGCAUUUGGAUGAAGAUUGUUGGGGGGCGAGCACAUGCAGCGAAAGAAACAGCUUCCAGCAUCAACCCCCCAUUACAAUUCGUUAAUGAUCCUUCCGCAGGUUCACCUACGGAAA